This 61-nucleotide transfer RNA is filed under the name Celleporella hyalina. Its description in RNAcentral is "tRNA-His". Lineage: Eukaryota; Metazoa; Bryozoa; Gymnolaemata; Cheilostomatida; Hippothoidae. The record is from RNAcentral.
GGAAAAAUAGUUUAAAAAAUAAUCAAUUGUGAUUUGAUAGAUGGAGAUACUCCUUUUUCCU